CCUACGGGAGGCAGCAGUGGGGAAUAUUGCGCAAUGGGCGAAAGCCUGACGCAGCGACGCCGCGUGAGGGAUGAAGGUCUUCGGAUCGUAAACCUCUGUCAGCAGGGAAGAACGGUCACUGUGCUAAUCAGCAGUGAAUUUACGGUACCUGCAAAGGAAGUACCGGCUAACUCCGUGCCAGCAGCCGCGGUAAUACGGAGGGGGCGAGCGUUAAUCGGAAUUACUGGGCGGAAAGCGCUCGUAGGCGGUAUGUCAAGUCAAGGGGGAAAUCCCCGCGCUCAACGUGGGAGCUGCCUUUGAAACGGGCAAACUGGAGUGGGUGAGAGGAGAGUGGAAUUCGGGGGGUAGGGGGGAAAU
Molecule: ribosomal RNA, 357 nt
Filed under: uncultured bacterium
Lineage: Bacteria
Description: partial 16S ribosomal RNA
Rfam family: Bacterial small subunit ribosomal RNA
Source: RNAcentral